Long non-coding RNA from Macrobrachium nipponense, 1480 nucleotides. RefSeq lists it as uncharacterized. The transcript has 3 exons. Lineage: Eukaryota; Metazoa; Arthropoda; Malacostraca; Decapoda; Palaemonidae. The record is from RefSeq and is a predicted model, not a curated record.
CCACCAUUGCUCUCGACAAUUUUUGCAACUUUUCUAUUGCUGCUAGAAUAGGAGGAUUUUAGACCGAUAAAAGCAACUGGCUUCAGCCGACCUUUUGGAUAUUGGCUGAAAGCUACCGGCAACUCCUUUGGCAAAUAUAUUUCCAUAGUUUUAUUUAACAUUUAUAUAGUAUAUGCAAACUUCAGAAUUCUAGAUCACAGUCUUUGAUAUAGCAACUUUUAGACCGAUACCUGUAACCUGGUCUGAGCCGAUUUUUUGCAUGUUGGCUGAAAGUUCCCGGCAACUCUUCUGUCAAAUAUAGUUCUAUAGUUUUAGUUAACAUAUGUAAACUUCAGAACUAUAAGUUUUUAUUUUUUUCUAAUAAAGCAUUGAUCAUAUAGUUAACACUAUAUUUCUAUUGGCUAGAAUUAUUUUUAGCAUGGUUACAACUGGAGUUAAAAACUGUGUAGCGUUGAUUUGAUACCCGAAGUCUUGUGGUUAAGCCACCGAAGUUCGAACCGAAGUCAGUUAUACGUCUUGUGUGAUCGUAAUUGAAAAGUGUAUUUGCAAUUGUGCAGUGAAAUUACAGUGGACGGUAGGUGCUGAGGUAUUUCCAUAACGCUUAGAGGACUAAGUGUUAUUGUAGAGCAUUAAAUGCAAAUGCUAUUUAAAAACUGACCAAGAAAUCGUCUUCUGCAUACUGGUAGCAGCUGGACUAUCAUACUUCACAGACUUCAAGAUGGCGACCUGGUGAAUACCGAGUACCUGUGAAGGAUCAGCAGUAGAAGUGAAAGGAUCCAAGAUGAUCGGUCCUGUUUGUUGAAUCCAAUCCAGUUUUGGGAGAGACAUCCAGUUUGGACAGGUUGCUUCCAGAUUCCCCAAAACUGGGCAUAAAUAUGGCUAGAAUUGGCCCACCAAAUUGCAUUCGGCUCUAGCCAGCUCCUGAGGUACUAUCCUGUCCUGAAGUGGUGUCUUGCCCAAAUACUCGGCCUGCUGCUGCCUCCAUCCUGUGUCUUGAUGCUGAAUCUGGCUAGCUUCACCUACGACUGCACUCUCCGCAGACCAGACUCUGCCUAGGCGUCCAGCCUGACAGCUCUACUAAGCACCUGUCCCUGAAGUUCCUUAGUAAUCCUGUCGCUGUUAUAAACCCAUAUUCGUGUAGACCGCCCGUUGUGCGCCUCUGACUGUAUUCCAGCAGUGCCACUCAACGUGUUCUGCCAGUGCCAAACUUGGGAUAUCAUUCCUGAGGUUCUGGUGGGAGCUUACGCUCACUUACAGUGCUCCAUUACCUAGUUUUGAUCAGUGUUGCUAAUUUUAAGUUCUUGAUCCAUAUUUCUUGCACUUAUGUGAUUCUUUAGGAUUAGUGAAUUUGCUUGCAAUUAGGUGGCACAUUUUCUUUGCUAUUACGAAUAAUAGUGUUAACGUCCCAAGUGCCAUGGAGCCAGAUAGUGCUCCUGUAAAUCAUAUCUUCCGAUGACCUUAUAGUAGAAAUUAUAUUUUG